AUUGAACGCUGGCGGCAGGCUUAACACAUGCAAGUCGAGCGCGCGGCGGACGGGUGAGAAAUGUCUGGGAAACUGCCUGAUGGAGGGGGAUAACUACUGGAAACGGUAGCUAAUACCGCAUACCAUCAGAUGUGCCCAUAUGGGAUGAGCUAGUAGGGGGGGUAAUGGUUCAUCUAGGCGACGAUCCCUAGCGGGUCUGAGAGGAUGACCAGCCACACUGGAACUGAGACACGGUCCAGACUCCUACGGGAGGCAGCAGUGGGGAAUAUUGCACAAUGGGCGCAAGCCUGAUGCAGCCAUGCCGCGUGUGUGAAGAAGGCCUUCGGGUUGUAAAGUACUUUCAGCGAGGAGGCGUUACUCGCAGAAGAAGCACCGGCUAACUCCGUGCCAGCAGCCGCGGUAAUUC
This 406-nucleotide ribosomal RNA is filed under the name uncultured bacterium. RNAcentral's name for it is "partial 16S ribosomal RNA". It matches the Rfam family "Bacterial small subunit ribosomal RNA", at positions 30 to 526 of the family's 1533-position model. The record is from RNAcentral.